UACGUAGGGGGCAAGCGUUGUCCGGAAUCAUUGGGCGUAAAGAGCGUGUAGGCGGCCCGGUAAGUCCGCUGUGAAAGUCGGGGGCUCAACCCUCGAAUGCCGGUGGAUACUGUCGGGCUAGAGUGCGGAAGAGGCGAGUGGAAUUCCUGGUGUAGCGGUGAAAUUCGUAGAUAUCGGGAGGAACACCAGUGGCGAAGGCGGCGAUCUGGGAAGAUACUGACGCUGAGGUGCGAAAGCGUGGGGAGCAAACAGG
Molecule: ribosomal RNA, 253 nt
Filed under: uncultured bacterium
Lineage: Bacteria
Description: partial 16S ribosomal RNA
Rfam family: Bacterial small subunit ribosomal RNA
Source: RNAcentral